RNAcentral lists this ribosomal RNA (512 nucleotides) under uncultured bacterium. RNAcentral describes it as "bacterial SSU rRNA". It matches the Rfam family "Bacterial small subunit ribosomal RNA", at positions 34 to 518 of the family's 1533-position model. The record is from RNAcentral.
CGCUGGCGGCGUGCUUAACACAUGCAAGUCGAACGAGGUGAUUGAAAGCUUGCUUUGAGAACCGAGUGGCAAACGGGUGAGUAACGCGUAGACAACCUGCCGCGAAGAUGGGGACAACAGUCCGAAAGGACUGCUAAUACCGAAUGUUGUCAAGUUUCCGCAUGGGAGCUUGAUUAAAGAUGGCCUCUACUUGUAAGCUAUCGCUUUGCGAUGGGUCUGCGUCUGAUUAGCUGGUUGGUGGGGUAACGGCCUACCAAGGCGACGAUCAGUAGCCGGUCUGAGAGGAUGAACGGCCACAUUGGAACUGAGACACGGUCCAGACUCCUACGGGAGGCAGCAGUGGGGAAUCUUCCGCAAUGGGCGAAAGCCUGACGGAGCAACGCCGCGUGAGUGAAGAAGGGUUUCGGCUCGUAAAGCUCUGUUGACGGGGACGAAUGUGCGAAAUGCGAAUAGUUUUUCGCAAUGACGGUACCCGUCGAGGAAGCCACGGCUAACUACGUGCCAGCCGCCGC